This 1197-nucleotide long non-coding RNA is filed under the name Helianthus annuus (common sunflower). Its description in RNAcentral is "hypothetical non coding rna". The record is from RNAcentral. Lineage: Eukaryota; Viridiplantae; Streptophyta; Magnoliopsida; Asterales; Asteraceae.
GUACGAAAACCACUCACCACACCAAUGUAAAACCACUUCCUCUCUCCAUCUCUCUCUCUAAAAUCAAAGUCACGGACACCAUGGCAACCUCAUCAACACCAUCUACAACAAAAAGUCAUAGAUGAACCCUCUGUGUGUACCAUGUGCUUGGUUACUUGUACCGUGAUGACGAUCAAGACUUGUUAUGGCUCCGGCGAUCUUGUUAAGCGACGGUGACUGAGGUUCCUGUCGAUCGAACUUCUCCAUCGCCGUUUUCCGGCCAAAUGACAUUUUUUUUUCAAGUCACAAAACCAAAACCCAUGGCGGUAGUACCGGCUUUGGGAGAGAAAGAUAGAGAGAGGCAGAGGAAAACAGGAGAGAGUUUCGGCGAUUAUUGCUGAUGUUCAGACGGGUGCGGUGGGGUUAUAUAAGGUGUGACGGUGGUAAACGACGGAGAAAACUGGUUGGAGGAGACACGUCCGUUUGGUUGUUAACUGUAAAUUCAUAACAGUAUUUGAAUGAUUACGUUGUUCCAUUACGGUGUGUCCCCACCGAUUACGUUUUGAGGAUAAAAUUAAAAGGUGUGUAUUUUAUUAGGGAUUACCACCGAUUAACUGUAAUUUCAAGACGGUUUUUGAAUCUUUAUGUCGUUCCACUACAACGGUGUGUUGUUUGAGAAUAAAUGGUAUUUUUUUUAGGAUUGCCAUUGAAAAUAAAAUUUGAGUAGUAACCGUCGUUAAAUUAAGAAUUAAGAAAUAUAUUAAUUCAGAACGUGAGUUUCUUAAACGGUGUGUCAAACGGAUGCCUUUGAAUGAAAGGAUGCAACUAUGUUUAAAGGCACCCUAAGUUGCUAUUUGUAUAAGAGAUUUGAAUAUAAUGUUUUAGGGAGAGAAAGAUAGAGAGAGGCAGAGGAAAACAGGAGAGAGUUUCGGCGAUUAUUGCUGAUGUUCAGACGGGUGCGGUGGGGUUAUAUAAGGUGUGACGGUGGUAAACGACGGAGAAAACUGGUUGGAGGAGACACGUCCGUUUGGUUGUUAACUGUAAAUUCAUAACAGUAUUUGAAUGAUUACGUUGUUCCAUUACGGUGUGUCCCCACCGAUUACGUUUUGAGGAUAAAAUUAAAAGGUGUGUAUUUUAUUAGGGAUUACCACCGAUUAACUGUAAUUUCAAGACGGUUUUUGAAUCUUUAUGUCGUUCCACUACAACGGUGUGUUGUUU